AACGAACGCUGGCGGCAUGCCUAACACAUGCAAGUCGAACGAGACCUUCGGGUCUAGUGGCGCACGGGUGCGUAACGCGUGGGAACCUGCCCUUAGGUUCGGAAUAACUCCCCGAAAGGGGUGCUAAUACCGGAUAAUGUCUUCGGACCAAAGAUUUAUCGCCUUUGGAUGGGCCCGCGUUGGAUUAGCUGGUUGGUAGGGUAAAAGCCUACCAAGGCGACGAUCCAUAGCUGGUCUGAGAGGAUGCUCAGCCACACUGGGACUGAGACACGGCCCAGACUCCUACGGGAGGCAGCAGUGGGGAAUAUUGGACAAUGGGCGAAAGCCUGAUCCAGCAAUGCCGCGUGAGUGAUGAAGGCCUUAGGGUUGUAAAGCUCUUUUAGCCGGGAUGAUAAUGACAGUACCGGGAGAAUAAGCUCCGGCUAACUCCGUG
Molecule: ribosomal RNA, 433 nt
Filed under: uncultured bacterium
Lineage: Bacteria
Description: partial 16S ribosomal RNA
Rfam family: Bacterial small subunit ribosomal RNA
Source: RNAcentral